RNAcentral lists this ribosomal RNA (546 nucleotides) under Varioconus mercator. RNAcentral describes it as "Conus mercator partial 12S ribosomal RNA". It matches the Rfam family "Bacterial small subunit ribosomal RNA", at positions 598 to 1383 of the family's 1533-position model. The record is from RNAcentral. Lineage: Eukaryota; Metazoa; Mollusca; Gastropoda; Neogastropoda; Conidae.
AACCAAGAAAUUUAGUCAUUCUUUUAUGGUAAAAAGACAGUUAAGCAGGUAUAAAAAGUCAUUGGACCUUUAAUAUAGGAGUAAAAUCUAGAUACUAAAAGUUAUACCAGACAUGGCUUAAUUUAGAUGCUGAAGCUGUGAUAGCUUUAAGGGAAACUGGGAUUGGAUACCCCAUUAUUUUUAGUUGUAAAUUUAGUUUAAGCUUACCAGAGUACUACGAAUAAAAAGUUUAAAACUCAAAGAGCUUGGCGGUGUUUUAGACCUCUCAGGGGAACCUGUUCCAUAAUCGACAAUCCGCGUUAAACCUAACCUUUGAUAGCAAUUCAGCCUGUAUACCGUCGUCGUCAGGUAACUUCUUAAAAUAUAGUAGUUAGCUUGAGAAUUUUAUUAAUUAAAACGUCAGAUCAAGGUGCAGCUAAUGAAAGGGUGAGGAUGGGUUACAAUUACAUAUUUGUAAAUACGGAAAACAUUUGAAAUAAUGUCUUAAAGGAGGACUUGAAAGUAAUUUUGAUUAUAUAAAUAGAAUGAAUAGGGCUCUGAAACGUG